RNAcentral lists this long non-coding RNA (330 nucleotides) under Vigna radiata. RNAcentral describes it as "long non-coding RNA (VRAD_LNC012242)". Lineage: Eukaryota; Viridiplantae; Streptophyta; Magnoliopsida; Fabales; Fabaceae. The record is from RNAcentral.
UUCGCGUCAUAAGGAGUGAAGGCUUCCUUUCUCUUAUCUUUCUUGGUUCUAAUUGGGGGGUUUUGCACGUUGGGGAUGCGAGUUCAGGUGGCUAGGGCACGAACUCCUUUUUCACAGCGCCAGGGCUCACGGGGAGGAUGCGUCACAGUUUUGAGGCUUUCUAUGCUCAUUCUUGGCUUGUGAUUUAGGGUUGUUCUUGUGUUUCUAUUUCUUCUCUGUACGUUGACAAUUAUAGGUUGAGGAUUUUGAUCUUGUAAUUUGGGGGUUUGGUUUUAGGGUUUCUGAAGUUGGGAAUUUUUUGGGAUUUCUGUUCUUGGUUUUUCUGAUGGU